AGUGAACGCUGGCGGUAGGCCUAACACAUGCAAGUCGAACGGCAGCACAGUAAGAGCUUGCUCUUACGGGUGGCGAGUGGCGGACGGGUGAGGAAUACAUCGGAAUCUACUUUUUCGUGGGGGAUAACGUAGGGAAACUUACGCUAAUACCGCAUACGACCUACGGGUGAAAGCAGGGGAUCUUCGGACCUUGCGCGAUUGAAUGAGCCGAUGUCGGAUUAGCUAGUUGGCGGGGUAAAGGCCCACCAAGGCGACGAUCCGUAGCUGGUCUGAGAGGAUGAUUAGCCACACUGGAACUGAGACACGGUCCAGACUCCUACGGGAGGCAGCAGUGGGGAAUAUUGGACAAUGGGCGGAAGCCUGAUCCAGCCAUACCGCGUGGGUGAAGAAGGCCUUCGGGUUGUAAAGCCCUUUUGUUGGGAAAGAAAAGCAGCAGGUUAAUACCCCGCUGUUCUGACGGUACCCAAAGAAUAAGCAACGGCUAACUUCGUG
RNAcentral lists this ribosomal RNA (492 nucleotides) under uncultured bacterium. RNAcentral's name for it is "partial 16S ribosomal RNA". It matches the Rfam family "Bacterial small subunit ribosomal RNA", at positions 29 to 507 of the family's 1533-position model. The record is from RNAcentral.